RNAcentral lists this ribosomal RNA (828 nucleotides) under uncultured Dinobryon. RNAcentral describes it as "partial Bacterial large subunit ribosomal RNA". It matches the Rfam family "Bacterial large subunit ribosomal RNA", at positions 2050 to 2873 of the family's 2925-position model. Lineage: Eukaryota; Chrysophyceae; Chromulinales. The record is from RNAcentral.
CCCGUGAAGAUGCGGGGUUCCCGCGGUCAGACGGAAAGACCCUAUGAACCUUUACUGCAGCUUCGCCUUGGCGUUAGCAGCAACAUGUGUAGGAUAGGUGGGAGGCUAUGAAACCGGGGCGCCAGCUCUGGUGGAGCCAACCUUGAAAUACCACCCUGGUUUGUUUGAGGUUCUAACCUUGGUCCGUUAUCCGGAUCGGGGACAGUGCAUGGUAGGCAGUUUGACUGGGGCGGUCUCCUCCUAAAGUGUAACGGAGGAGUUCGAAGGUACGCUAGAUACGGUCGGACAUCGUGUUGAUAGUGCAAUGGCAUAAGCGUGCUUAACUGCGAGACUGACAAGUCGAGCAGGUACGAAAGUAGGACAUAGUGAUCCGGUGGUUCUGUAUGGAAGGGCCAUCGCUCAACGGAUAAAAGGUACUCUGGGGAUAACAGGCUGAUUCCUCCCAAGAGUUCAUAUCGACGGGGGAGUUUGGCACCUCGAUGUCGGCUCAUCACAUCCUGGGGCUGUAGCCGGUCCCAAGGGUAUGGCUGUUCGCCAUUUAAAGUGGUACGUGAGCUGGGUUUAAAACGUCGUGAGACAGUUUGGUCCCUAUCUGCCGUGGGCGUUGGAAAUUUGAAGGGGGCUGCUCCUAGUACGAGAGGACCGGAGUGGACGAACCUCUGGUGUACCGGUUGUCACGCCAGUGGCAUUGCCGGGUAGCUAAGUCUGGAAGAGAUAACCGCUGAAAGCAUCUAAGCGGGAAACUUGCCUUGAGAUGAGAUUUCCCAGAGCCUUGAGCUCUUUAAAGGGUCGUUCGAGACCAGGACGUUGAUAGGUCAGGUGUGGAAG